CCUACGGGGGGCUGCAGUGGGGAAUAUUGGACAAUGGGCGAAAGCCUGAUCCAGCCAUGCCGCGUGUGUGAAGAAGGCCUUCGGGUUGUAAAGCACUUUCAGUGGGGAAGAAAGCCUUGGGGCUAAUACCCUCGAGGAAGGACAUCACCCACAGAAGAAGCACCGGCUAACUCCGUGCCAGCAGCCGCGGUAAUACGGAGGGUGCGAGCGUUAAUCGGAAUUACUGGGCGUAAAGCGCGCGUAGGCGGUCUGAUAAGCCGGUUGUGAAAGCCCCGGGCUCAACCUGGGAACGGCAUCCGGAACUGUCAGGCUAGAGUGCAGGAGAGGAAGGUAGAAUUCCCGGUGUAGCGGUGAAAUGCGUAGAGAUCGGGAGGAAUACCAGUGGCGAAGGCGGCCUUCUGGACUGACACUGACGCUGAGGUGCGAAAGCGUGGGUAGCAAACAGGACUAGAUACCCCUGUAGUC
RNAcentral lists this ribosomal RNA (465 nucleotides) under Vreelandella stevensii. RNAcentral describes it as "partial 16S ribosomal RNA". It matches the Rfam family "Bacterial small subunit ribosomal RNA", at positions 338 to 795 of the family's 1533-position model. The record is from RNAcentral. Lineage: Bacteria; Pseudomonadati; Pseudomonadota; Gammaproteobacteria; Oceanospirillales; Halomonadaceae.